Molecule: transfer RNA, 82 nt
Filed under: Vertebrata isogona
Lineage: Eukaryota; Rhodophyta; Florideophyceae; Ceramiales; Rhodomelaceae
Description: tRNA-Leu
Rfam family: tRNA
About the family: Transfer RNA (tRNA) molecules are approximately 80 nucleotides in length. Their secondary structure includes four short double-helical elements and three loops (D, anti-codon, and T loops).
Source: RNAcentral
AGGUAAGUGGCGAAACUUGGUAAACGCAUCAUACUCAAAAUAUGACAACAUUGUUCUGAGGGUUCGAAUCCCUUCUUACCUA